ACCCAUUGAAUCUGGGCCAAACUUCAAAUUUUACCAAUGCGAUAAGUCAGCAAAUCCGUGCUGGACAAAUGACUCAGGCUCUGCUGAAUUCAAAACUUAGGAUGGUACAGAGAACAGGUGUACUAGGGGCCCCUCAGUCAGGCAUAAGUGGAAUGUCUGGAGCCAGGCAGAUGCACCCAAGUUCUGCUGGGCUUUCCAUGCUGGGCCAGUCUCUGAACCGAGCUAAUGUGAACCCAAUGCAACGGAGUGCAAUGGGGCCU
This 260-nucleotide unclassified non-coding RNA is filed under the name Hevea brasiliensis (rubber tree). The record is from RNAcentral. Lineage: Eukaryota; Viridiplantae; Streptophyta; Magnoliopsida; Malpighiales; Euphorbiaceae.